AUACGUAGGUGACAAGCGUUAUCCGGAUUUACUGGGUGUAAAGGGCGUGUAGGCGGUUUGGCAAGUCAGAAGUGAAAUUCCCGGGCUUAACUUGGGCGCUGCUUCUGAAACUGCUUAACUUGAGUGCUGGAGAGGAUAGUGGAGUUCCUAGUGUAGCGGUACAAUGCGCAGAUAUUAGGAGGAACACCGGUGGCGAAGGCGGCUAUCUGGACAGUAACUGACGCUGAGGCGCGAAAGCACGGGGAGCAAACAGGAUUAGAUACCCUGGUAGUCCGUGCCGUAAACGAUGAAUACUAGGUGUAGGGGGUAUCGACUCCCUCUGUGCCGCAGUUAACACAUUAAGUAUUCCACCUGGGGAGUACGGCCGCAAGGUUGAAACUCAAAGGAAUUGACGGGG
Molecule: ribosomal RNA, 397 nt
Filed under: uncultured bacterium
Lineage: Bacteria
Description: partial 16S ribosomal RNA
Rfam family: Bacterial small subunit ribosomal RNA
Source: RNAcentral